This 658-nucleotide small RNA is filed under the name Pongo abelii (Sumatran orangutan). Its description in RNAcentral is "processed transcript". The record is from RNAcentral. Lineage: Eukaryota; Metazoa; Chordata; Mammalia; Primates; Hominidae.
GCGGGUGCAGAGGGCUCACGCUGCUGGGAGCCCAUGGACCUCAGCCACGGCGGGCCCGGGGACAGACCUCCAGGAGGCCUGCUGGGGGAACAGAUCCGGCCUCCGUCCCACCACUUCUCCCCCGAGCAGCGGGCCCUGCUCUACGAGGACGCACUCUACACUGUCUUGCACCGCCUGGGUCAGCCUGAGCCCAACCAUGUGACGGAGGCCUCUGAGCUGCUGCGAUACCUGCAGGAGGCCUUCCACGUGGAGCCCGAGGAGCACCAGCAGAUGCUGCAGCGAGUCAGGGAGCUUGAGAAGCCAAUAUUUUGUCUGAAGGCAACAGUGAAACAGGCCAAGGGCAUUCUGGGCAAAGAUGUCAGUGGGUUCAGCGACCCCUACUGCCUGCUGGGCAUUGAGCAGGGGGUAGGUGUGCCGGGGGGCAGCCCCGGGUCCCGGCAGCGGCAGAAGGCUGUGGUGAGGCACACCAUCCCCGAGGAGGAGACCCACCGCACGCAGGUCAUCACCCAGACACUCAACCCCGUCUGGGACGAGACCUUCAUCCUGGCCCUCAACCAUGCCCUUUUCGCCAUACAGGGAGUUUGAGGACAUCACCAAUGCGAGCUUUCAUCUGGACAUGUGGGACCUGGACACUGUGGAGUCUGUCCGACAGAAGCUU